CAGCAGCCGCGGGAAUACGAAGGGUGCAAGCGUUAAUCGGAAUUACUGGGCGUAAAGCGUGCGUAGGUGGUGGUUUAAGUCCGUUGUGAAAGCCCUGGGCUCAACCUGGGAAUUGCAGUGGAUACUGGGUCACUAGAGUGUGGUAGAGGAUAGUGGAAUUUCCGGUGUAGCAGUGAAAUGCGUAGAGAUCGGAAGGAACAUCUGUGGCGAAGGCGACUAUCUGGGCCAACACUGACACUGAGGCACGAAAGCGUGGGGAGCAAACAGGAUUAGAUACCCGAGUAGUCCCUGUCUCUUAUAC
This 301-nucleotide ribosomal RNA is filed under the name uncultured bacterium. RNAcentral's name for it is "partial 16S ribosomal RNA". It matches the Rfam family "Bacterial small subunit ribosomal RNA", at positions 509 to 807 of the family's 1533-position model. The record is from RNAcentral.